CAGCAGCCACGGUAAUACGUAGGUGGCAAGCGUUGUCCGGAAUUACUGGGUGUAAAGCGCACGUAGGCGGCUUUGUAAGUUAGAGGUGAAAGCCUGGGGCUCAACCCCAGAAUUGCCUUUAAGACUGCAGAGCUAGUAGGUGAGAGAGGUGAGUGGAACUCCGAGUGUAGAGGUGAAAUUCGUAGAUAUUCGGAAGAACACCAGUGGCGAAGGCGGCUUACUGGCUCAUUCUAGACGCUGAGGUGCGAAAGCGUGGGGAGCAAACAGGAUUAGAUACCCCGGUAGUCCCUGUCUCUUAUAC
Molecule: ribosomal RNA, 301 nt
Filed under: uncultured bacterium
Lineage: Bacteria
Description: partial 16S ribosomal RNA
Rfam family: Bacterial small subunit ribosomal RNA
Source: RNAcentral